Molecule: long non-coding RNA, 705 nt
Organism: Phragmites australis (common reed)
Lineage: Eukaryota; Viridiplantae; Streptophyta; Magnoliopsida; Poales; Poaceae
Exons: 2
Source: RefSeq, a predicted model, not a curated record
CUCUCUCUCUCGCGAACUCUCUCUCUCUCCUGUUGCUUUGCCGCCGCUGCGCUGCUCCUGCCGCGGCGCCGCUGCUUGCUUGCGCCAGCACGCCACCGCCGGCCGCCGCUGCGUCGAGCCGCCGGUCGCCGCCGAGCCCUGCCGCCGGGCGCCGCCGCAGCUCCCGCCGGGCGCCGCCGCUGUGCACGCGCCGUGCGUUGCCGAGCCGCGUCGCCGGUUGCUGCGCGCCGCCGGCCGCCGCCCCCGGCUACUCCUCUCCCUCUCUCUCUCUGGGUUCCGCCGAAGCAGCCAGCCGGCCGAAGCAAGCAAGCGGCACGGGAGAAGGAAGCCAGGAAGAAGAAGGAAGAAAGAGAAGAAAAGAAAAGAAGGAAAAAAAAGGAAAAAGAGAAGAAAAGGAAAAAAAAAGAAGAAACAAAAAAGGAAAAGUUGGAAAUUUUAGAAUUUCGUCGGAUUCGUCGUCAAUCUUUCGAAGGCGAUUUUUCGGUAUGUUUAGAUGUUGACAUGCAUUUUGGGGAUGGAUCUCGGUAGCUGCACACACUAACUUAUCACGAUGUCGAUAGCUCAACCGGUGUAUACAAAUGGUGUGUCUGAUGGUCUGUCGUUUGCUUUUGUUUAUGUUGUGGUACGAUGCUGGUAGCGUCGUGGCGAACUCUAUAUAUGCUGGUUAUAUCUGAUUCUGUCUGCUUGAGAUUUCUCUUUUGGUCA